Papio anubis (olive baboon) is the source of this 2928-nucleotide long non-coding RNA. Lineage: Eukaryota; Metazoa; Chordata; Mammalia; Primates; Cercopithecidae. The record is from Ensembl.
AUGCUGAGAAUUAGGGUUUUACACUUCUUUAUAUCUCUUCCAGACUCCUGCAAAUUUGGCAAGGCAGCUGUCACCUUGAACCCUUAUUCCAGACCUCUCGAGAAGCCCAAGGUGUUGAAUAAGAAUUGCAAGCCUCAGAGAGAAGAGAAAAUGAGGGCUGCUUCACACAGUGGACAACAACCAGUCUUUACUCAGCAAGCAUCAACGCUGCCAGUCUCUGUGACUCAGCGACGGAAAGAAAGAGUUCCUGCUUCUCUGAGAGCUCCUCGUCCAAUGAUUUGGGAAGCACUUGUUUAGGACAUGGGUGAAGAGAAGAGUUUUGAGCAGAAGAAAGUGUGCUACUUCUUUUGGGACAGCUAAGAAGAUUUCAGGAUGGAUGUGGAUGCAGGUAAGUUUACUGGUUUAAGCAAGAUUAGCUUCUGGACAUAUCAUCUGAUAAGACGAGUGGGGAAAAUGUGUGCCUCAUCUAGAAAUCUGGCUUCAGAGCUUGAAAGAAAUUCUUUGAGGGUAAUUGUGACUGACAUACCUCCAAAAGUGCCCUGGCCUCUUGUCCCAGGAGCAGGGAGUUCUUAAACCAAAAAAAUGAGGUGUGUGUAAGUUGGAGACUAAAUGAUCCAUAAAUGCCAUAAAUGCUGGAUCAGAUAGGGUCUAUGCAGAGUGGCCAAGUGGAGGCACUCAGGAUGAACCAGUGGUCAUAGAGCCAGCUAUCACUGGAAAGCAGCAAGACCUUUUCUGGAGUUAUGGCAAAGAAUGGAGACGGACUCAAGACCUCUACUUCUCCACUAGAUGGUCUGUGCAAGGAGAACUGUGGGAGUGUGGUAGAGAGAGGUUUGAGUAGUGGGAGACUGAUAGGAAACAUACCUACCAGUGAUAAACCCACGAUUCUGUCGCCCUUUUCUGUGCUAUAUCUCUACUUGAAUCCCAUUUUUUUUUCCUACACUCUUACCCACAUACUCCCAUCUAUCUAACAAGCUUGAGCUCCUCCUUUAAGUACCAUCUCAAGAAUCAUUUUCAGGAGUCAUCUUCUGUGAGAACUUCCCCUGGCUUCUGGAGAUUGGUGAGUUUUUCCUUUGUGUGUCCAAUGGAUCGUGUUUAUACCUGCCAUUGUUGUGUAUACCAAAUUGCACCACCCCCCCACUAGCUUAGAAUGUUAAAUUCUCAAUAAGUAACCAUGAAUUAAUAAAGUAAUAAACUGAGUGAUUAGGGGAACCAAAUGAUUCUGUGACUAUCAGCUAAGCCUUUGAUUGUCCAUACUUAACCAAGGAUGGCCUGGAAAAGAAGGGCUAUAGAGGUAAGCACAGUAGCUGCAUGGAUAGUCUAGAGCAGUCUACACCCGUUCACCACCAAUGUACCAGGAAGUCAAGGAACAUAAAAGUCAACAAAUACAAUUCUAUCCUAGGCAAUUUAAAAGCGAUGAUUGAAAUGUUCCUAAAGCCUAGUGUGAUAAGCUUUGCCCUGAGUGGAAUAACCAAAGAACACUGAGUUUCAAGAUAAUUAUGGCUCCUGUUUUCUAGAUACCAAUAAAACACAAAAUCCUGAGUGAGAAAGGGACUUUUUUUAAAGAUAGAAAGCAAGAGAUGUCUGAUUAGCUGAGUAUCAUCUUUCAGUAAUCUCCCAUCGUAUCAUCUAGCCUUAUUCUGCUUGAGUAUUCAGCACAUCUAUGUAUACUUCUGUUCAAUUAUAAUUAGCUUACAUGUGAUAUAUGUUCAUGUCCCAUCACUAUUAUAUAUUGUAUAUAUGUGUAAUCUCCCCAGAGUAUCUUGGUCAUUGCAUUUCACACAACAGAUGUGAAAUCAUAGAAUGGUAGGAAGCAUAUAACCAAAAUUCUCAUUUUGCCAAAGAGAAAACUGAGCCCUAGGAACGUUAUACAAACUUGCCUGUAUUACACAUUCAUUCAAACAAUGGAAGAGUCAUCAAAUUCAUUCAACAAAUAUUUCGGUGACUGUGCAAAAACAUAAAAAAUGUUGACUAUGAAGAUGAAUACUACACACCCUAAUAUCAGGACUUUGACAAUCUUCUUAGGAACAGACACAUAAACAGCAGUACACUGCCAGUGGAGUGUAUACUUUGGUUUAAAUCUUUGGAGAAGAGUUUGACAAUGUAUAAUUUUUUAAAAAUGACCUUGGUUCUUCAAAUCCACUCCCAAGAAUUAAUCCAGUGGAAAUAAAUGGAUUUAAGCAAAGAUUUAGCUAUAAACUAUUCUCCUUUUUUCUUUUUAAAGAAGAAUAUUGCUUGAUUUCAGAAUAAUUUAUGAUAUGUAAAAUCCUUUGUAAUCAUUAAAAUAUGCAUUGAGGAAGAAUAUUAACAUGAAAAGAUGAUCCUAACAGAUUGUUGAAAAGGUAAGAAGGUAGAUACCAUUUGCAGUUUGUAUAUCAUGAACCCAUAAAUGAAAAGUAUAUCUUUAUUUAUGUCUGCAAAGAAGACUUUCAAAAGUAUUAAUGGUAGUCAUCUCAAAAUGGUAAAUUACAGAUACUGUUCUUUUUUUCCCCUUUUGGCUGUAUUUCCUAAAUGUUUUACAAUGAAUUCACAUUUGCUUUAAAAGAAAAUUCUUUCUUACAAAAAUAAACUGUGUCUGGAUAUCAAAACAGCAUUGAGUUCCUGAAUAUCUGGAUCUACCCAUGUAGGAGCAGAAGACUAGAAGGGUUGAGUCCAUACAGACUGACUCAUUCAUCAGUGACCCACUGAACAUGAGCAGUUCUUAUUUUCUACUGAAUUGUCCAAAUUGAGCAGGAUAUGUAAAUACUUUUUUGAAAAAUUUUAUGGAGGAGAACCUAGAACAAAUUUUUUUCUAUAAAUCUUGGUAAAGAAGAAACUAGAAACAAGUAAACACAUCAAAGUCAAAACUGCUUUCAAAAAAUGACCCGAGCAUGUGAGAGCACAGCCCUGCUCAUUCUCUUGUGCCAAAGUUAUUGACAAUCCUUCUGGUGA